This 2398-nucleotide long non-coding RNA is filed under the name Citrus x clementina. RNAcentral describes it as "Citrus clementina (C. clementina) long non-coding RNA (CCLE_LNC001529)". Lineage: Eukaryota; Viridiplantae; Streptophyta; Magnoliopsida; Sapindales; Rutaceae. The record is from RNAcentral.
AUUUUUUUAUUUAGUUAGUUCGUGGAUUGGAAAUAAUUAAAAAUUUUCAAUCCGCAAACCAAUCCUCAAAAUGGUGGAUUGGAUAUGGAUUGGGUCAAAUCCGCAUCCAAUCCGCAGAUGUAUGGAUUGGAUUUGAAUUGAAUUUCACCAAUCUGUAGAUUGAAUUAGAUUGAAAAAUUAUAAUCUAUAAAAUUAUUGAUCGGAUAUGAAUGAACGUCCAAUCUAUAAAAUCCGAUCCACCAACACCCCUAUUUUCAACCCUCUUUAUUGAUCUCUCUUGUGAGCAACACCUUGCCCACCAGACAGUUUGCAGCGAUUUUUCUCAUUUUAUCUUUACUCUUCCCAUAAACAUUAUCAUGUCCUCCUCUUCUUCUUUUAAGAAAAUUGAUUGACACUCGCGAAUUAAUUCCUUUGUAUCCAUAUUCCACUAUAUGUUCACCCCCAAAAAUAAAGACUUUUCCACCAAUCCUUCUAUAACUACAAUUAAUAGUAACACGUAAGGGAAAACUUUUCCCAAGCCUGUAAGAAAACAGUAAGAGUAAGAGAACAAGAAAAAAAGAAAACACCCAACAAAUGAGUGACUAAAACCCAGCCGUGCAGGCUUCAGCCUACUUUCAUUCUAGCACUUUUUCAAAGAGAAAGCAUAAUAGAAGAAAGAAUUCAUAUAAUAGACCCUUAAGUUAAAUUACUCAAAAGGUUAAAAUACUCUUUCUCGGAUGUGAUCAUUAUGCAAUUUCACUAAGUAGGUUGACUUGGUAUUAAAAUUUGAACAAAUUAAUAUAUUUGUGAAAUUUCAUAUAUUAUUUUUCUCUAUUAUUAUUAAUAAUUUUGGUGAUUAAGAGAAUUAACAAAAAUUACCAGUAAAUAGCAGUAAUGAAAGAACUUUUUAAAUACAUAAUAUAUGUACAUGAAAAAAAAGAAUAUAGUAGCUCAUCUUGUGAUAGAUAUUGUGUAACUGUGAUUAAACUAAUCACAAAACCUGCAGAUUUUGUGAUCACAAAGGAAAGCUGAAAUUAUGCAAGAAAUUAUUCACUCCAAAAAAUUAUUCACUUUUGGAAAUACAACAAAUAUCUAAUGACUUGCUACAAAUGCAAGCUUAUACAACAAAUUAACCACAAAAAAAAAACCACAAAAGUAUCUUUAUUGCUAAAUCUUUUAGAAUUAUCAGUUAUGAUUGUAAAGCAUCCCUUUAUUUUUGUGAUCUCAUCUCAACCGUUGUGCUAUUUAAAUAAAUUAAUGAAAACAAACAACGCAAAGGGGGACUUUUUCUGUUAAUACGUUACAUUUCUUGUCUAGUGUAUUGUUUUUUUCAAAACAAUAUUCUUUAUUUAAAUGCCUGUUAUUUAUUAUAAAUAGGUACAUAUACAUCAUCAUCAUUUCACUCAAUUAAAGCAAAAGAGCAGCAGCCCAUAUCUUCAAAUUAAACAAUGGCUAAUCAUCAUAUUCAGCAUUCCUUCCUUGGCUUAUUUUGCGUCAUUUUGAUUUUGAAUUCAGGUAAUAAUUAAAACUCAUCUCAAUUAAUUAGUUAACAAAUGUUUUGGUAUCUGUAUAUUAUAUGUACUUUCAUGCUUCCAUCUGCAGGUUUUUGUUUUUGCUUUUAUUUUUCUUUAAACCAAUUCUUACUUUAUUAUUUCUCUUAUCUUAAAUGACGCGACCACAUCAGUUGAAUUUUAGAGUCACUUUUUAAGAUAUCCAACAUGUUUUAAUGAAAGUCAAAUUAUCAUCUGAAAAGUUCAACGGUUAAUGAUCGAAACUAUAUAUGUGACUUUAGCUGUAACAUCAAAAUGAAGCUUUAAUUGCAUUAUUAUUUUUAUUAAAUGCACUUACAUUUGUGAACUUUCUUCAAAGUUUGAGACAUAUAAUAAACAACUCACAUUUAUCGAAAAGAAAUAAAUAAGAAUAUUAAAGGAAUGAAUGUACUGCAUUUAUUUAGUGUAGACGGAUUCACACAUUCAAAUUAAUGGUUAUGAACAUUCAAUAUUUUCUCACACUUUCUGAGGAGCCAAACAACGUAUUGACCAAUUUUUAUUUUUUUUUUCAAAAGCUGCAGGGCCAGCACCAGCAGCGGCACUAAAAGUAUUGCCGAAUUGCUUUGGAAGUUGUAUAACUGUUCAAGAAUGCAACUCAGACUGUAUCGCCAAGAAUUUCAAAAGUGGUGUCUGCAUUGGCCUCGGAUCUGAUUAUGCUUGUUGCUGUCUUAAUUAAUUAGAAAACUCAUGAUCACCCCCAAACUUUGCCUUAACAUACUUGCCUUUGCUUCUCAUUUAAUUUCUUGUUCUAUAUAUAUAUAUAUAAGAAACUAAUUUUUCACUUCAAUAAUAUUGCCCUCUACUAGUAAAUACUAUUCUACUCUUUACAAUAAGGGAAUAUAUUCUAGUCAAUAUUAAUUAUUUCAAUU